GGGAAGAAGGAUCUCCUGUGGCGUUCUGUGCUGCAUCUUGGUGGAACCGGUGGAACUGUUGCUCCUCAGUUUGGCCAGUGUGUCGUGGAGGGGGUGAGCUGUAUUGUCCCGGAUGCUUCACAUUUGAAGAGCACACUCCAAGACCACCUCUAAGACAUAUCGAAAACUGUCCACAGAAAUCUUUGAAGUACAUGUGCACAGUUCCCUUAAUGUAAGUGAGCAGAUGCAGAAGGCUAAGGAAACAUAUAAUACAACUCUAUCAUUGUUGAAACAUAAAGUUUGGAGUUUAUGACAUAAAUAUGUGAAACAUGUGAAACACUUGUUAGGUUGUUUCACAUAGAGUUCUGGAUACACAGUACAGAAGUACUGGUACCAAAAGCUUAAUUAUGAGGCUAAUGUAGCUGUUGGAUGUGUACGGGGCACACGUGAUUGUCACUGAUGUUAAAGGCCUCAUCAAUAGUCUGAGGCUGACGUAGUUCCAAAUUAACCACUGGUGAGAGAGAGAGAGAGAGAGAGAGAGAGUGAGAUAAUGAGAGAGUGAGAGAGUGAGAGAGAGAGAGAGUGAGAGAGAGAGAGUGUUUCUCUGAGGGAGACAGAAUAGCUCUCCAUCUUGUGCUUUUUAUUCACCGUAAUUUCUCUUCACCUUUUCACUACCCAACGCAAUCCACCAAACAGGAGAUCUAAUCGUUCAAGAAGGAACUGCAGAUGCUGGAAGAUCGAAGGUACACAAACUUGCUGGAGAAACUCAGCGGGUGCAGCAGCAUCUAUGGAGCGAAGGAAAUAGGCGACGUUUCGGCCGAAACCCUUCUUCAGACUAGGAGAUCUAAUCACUUGCUUCCCCUCAUACCUGAGUUGGGAGUUAGUUUAACAAAGGGAUUAGCUGGUUUCCUGCUCUCCCACAACCCCAAGCUUCUCUAGUGCACACAUCUGGCUUUUGUAUCACACAAAGUGUGGGUUGGAGUCCAACAACUGUAGGUUAUUUGCAGAAUUUACCGUUCUAGUAAUCGCUUAGACUCAAAUCCUUGCGAGUUUAUCCAAUUUUACUCAUUUCAUUUUGUAAAUUUUGGUUGUGAAUAUCUGCGCAGAAGUGAAAAUCAGAACAUUGUUGAAAUGGAGAAAGAUUAAUGAAAAGUAGUGCACAGAGGGAUCUGGUGGCUUUCCAUGUGAAACACAGAGAUUUUCCAAAGUAUCUGCUUCUGAUCGAUAUCCAGAGGAUCAAUAUCCACACAAGUGGAUCUGGCUGUGAUUCUUUUGCUGGUCACAAAGCUGCUGACAUCCCAGUUCAAGACUGCAGGGCACCAUUCCUCAAGGACUGAAGCGGGUUUUGACCAGUUUCCUUGCCAUUACCACAGUGACAGCUUUCACUCCUGGGCCCUGACAGAGUUCUGCACAAUUCAUUGUGGGCCCUGAGAGGCGGGGGAGAGAAAGCGAUCUCUACAGCUGUCCACAAACACUCAUUAGGAGAGGCAAAUAUCCAACCAAAUCUCUGUGAGAAUUGUUAAUCAUGCAAGGACUCUGCUAAUUAGGUAGCUGAUGGGGCAUGAGAGCACAAGGACAAAUUCUUUCAACAAAAGGGCUGGAAAGUUUCGGAGCUCUAAUUGCUGAGGCAGAAGUUUCAUGCUGCAACUUGGGAGGGAAUAUUCUGCCGAGAAAACUCAGUGACACUCACAAUGAAUAAAAGAGGUUCAAGUGUGUUACGUUCGCCAAGCCAGGCCUGUCAUCACCUGAGCAGCUACUGCAGAAACAUCCCAAACUUCAGACUCAGCUUUUCAUCUAUUAACUUAAUUAGGUCCAACUUAAACUUACCUCAUUGCAAUAGAUUAUUUCUGAACUUGUUCAUCUUUUUCAUUUAACUCUUUGAGUAUUAAAGGGACUUUAUAUUCCAAUUCCCUGUGUGCUGUUCCUUAUCGACAGAUUCUCUGCACGUUUCCCAGAAAUUCUUGUAAGCAGCCAGGAGUGUGAACACAUUUAAGAUCCUGUCCCACGAGCAUGCGACUUGCAUGCGGCGAGUGCGACCAAACCAGAAGCGGGGGCCGUGCGGAGGACGAGUGAGUGACGUGAAGUUCAA
Molecule: long non-coding RNA, 2068 nt
Organism: Leucoraja erinaceus (little skate)
Lineage: Eukaryota; Metazoa; Chordata; Chondrichthyes; Rajiformes; Rajidae
Exons: 3
Source: RefSeq, a predicted model, not a curated record